GUCGUGGGGAAAUUUCACGGCUUGUUUCGAACGUGCUCUCCCGGACCAGCGCUCCCCCGACCCGGCCUAUCAGUAGGGAAAAUGCUCCCCCAACACAUUACCUCGCGCAACCUUCCCCACGGGCAAAGGGAGACGAUGCAAGGGAUGCUCCACCGUCUGCACGUCACCGUCCGCUCCGCUGCCGCAGCCUUUCCUUGACACGGUCGCGAGCGGGACACGAGGUAUUGAACCAUUGCCACCUUCCCUGGCUUGCCGUCCUUCAUCGUUGUCCCCGUUCAGUUUGCUAUCCUUCACUGUCGUCUUCCAUGACACGAUGUAAGGUCUUCCCACUCCUCUCAUACUACCUAGGGUUUUGAAUCAUUCCCCAUUCUAAUGUUAGAUCUUCUUCGAUUCUUGAUCUCCAAGAUCCAAUACAAGGUCGGCUCUCCUGCAAGUCUGUGGCACAUGGAGCGAACCGAGCAAGUCCGCGCCUCCACCAGCGUCCACCGCUCCUCCACCAAGCAAGUUCUUCUCACCCUCUCUACUCGUUUCCUGGAUGCGAAUUCAACUCACGUCGGCCAGGGGUGAACCAAGAAUAAAAUUAGAGUGAGAGCAUACUUGUAAGGAUGAACAUCAAAAUACCAGAGCAUGGACAUCUAAGUUGGACUGACUAGGGGACCAUAUGGUGAAAUCUGAACUAUAAUACUUGCAACAGAGAAGUGAGCGAGGGCCUAGGCCCUCACUCACAUGUAUGUAGGUCCGCCCCUUCCAAGAGAUGCACUUAGAGCGAAUUCAAUGUUUGGACAAGUUCUAAAAGGCCCUAGGAACAUAUUGGAACACAUUAGAAAAGUUAGAAAGGUCAGAUAUUCAAUAUGAUGUUCUAGGAGCUAAGUCUCAGUGACAUUUAGUGAAAGGGUUGAGCAGGUCUAAAAUAUGAAGAACUAUGACUCAAUGUGGUUGGAUGGACUAAGGAUAAGUUUAUCUAAGUCAUAUAAGUGCUCAAGAGUAUAUCGAAACGAAGAGAACAAAAGAGAAGAAAAGAAUGUCUAGAAAGGACAAGUCUAGCUACUUUGAGGUGCACCGAGCUGGUCUGGUUUGGCACCGGACCGGGCACCAAACUAGGCACCUAGAGACCUUGUUUUUUGGGCAACAGUGACCUGGCGCACCAGACCAGCCCGAUAUAACUGGACUCGACACCCAGAGAGAAUGCUUUUCAGACUUUGGCAGCUCAGGUGCACUGGACUAGUCUAGUGUGCACUAGACCAACAAUGUUUCCAAUGGUUGAAAAGGCUUGGUACAAUAGUCCGCUGACGUGGCUAAAUAAUGUGUGGUCUGGUGUGGCACCGGACUGGUCAGGAGCACACUGAUAACUUUCGCACAAUGACUACAAACAAGACAGAGUGUUAGAGGUUCGGUGAGCACUGGACUUGCUACAAUGAGAGGUAUGAUGCAUACAUUUUAAAAACAGAUUUGGGAGUUGUGUUCCAACAUCUAUGUGAGGGUUUGGUGUUAUAUAUAUGAUCCAACUAGUGUGUUACACAUCCAAGAGUCGAGCAAACAAGUCUAUACACAAGAGCAACACAUCCAAGUGACUAAAGAGUCCCGAGUGCCACAAAUUUAGUAGAGGGCUAGUCUUAGCCAUUCUUUAUGAGAAAUUGAACUAGUGCACUUAAGUAAGUUAAGUUGUGGAGUUGUGUUGCGAUCUUUGAGCUUGGAGCUAAGACUCCCACUAAGAUUGUAGAAGCGUGCAAGAGUCUCCAAGUGUGUGGAGAGACUUGCGGAGUCACGAACUCAUUGAGUAAGGGAAAGAGGACUCAUGUUUGAUCUUUGUGAUCACUUGAGUGAGGAAAGGGUUGAGAGACCCAAUCCUUAGGGGACUCCUCAAUGAAGAUGUAGGUUUCUUUGUGAAACCAAACUCCAGUAACAAAUUGUCGUGUCUCUCUGAUAGUUGCCUAAAGGGGAGGUGAAUAGGAACUCCUGAAUAUUUCACAAAUUCAAAACAAACUUGAUCCUAAUUAGAUGUUAGCACAACAUAUAGAUCAAAUCAAAGUGAGGAAGAAUGAAGUUCUUGCAGUUGUUUUCUCUCUUGAUUGUGGAUUAGAGAAUAGAGCAGAAUCACAAGUGAAGAAUAAGCAAUAACUUAGAGAGGGGAGAAGGGAAGAAUUACAAAAGAUAAAGCACACAAUUCAUAGACAAUUUUUCCCGUAGUUCGACCAAGCCUCAAAUGAUAGCCUACAUCCACGUUGUGGUGUCCAAAAGGACGAGGGUUGCACCCAACCCUUCUCCAGUGAUCCAAAGAUCAAUUUGAGGCCACAAAUUCCACUUAUAAUAUUCUCCUCACAAGGAUCUACAUAGAUCAAAGUCUCUUGCUAUUUGUACACAGGUUGAUGGGAGUUACAAUCUCCAAAAAAGCAAGAGGGAGGAAUAAACACAUACAAGAGCAUAGUAACAACACUAAGAGAUCGAAGAAUGCAAGCACAAAACUGAAACAAAGCCCUCUCUCGCGAAUACGAGCACUUGGAUCACUUGGUGUGCUUCUCUAAUGCGCAGGAGUGAGUAUGCUAGCUCUUGAGUUCGUUGUUGUAUUGAGGGGGAUAGUUUGGGGGUUCUAUUUAUAGCCCCUGUUGGGGGCCUUCGGCUUCCGAAGGUCCUCAAAAACAUGAUUUAACAAUGCCUCUGGAGUAUAAUGUGUGGACAGGGAUCUUCGAACAAGAACCCACGGUAUGAAGAAGCACGAAAACAAUACGAAGGAUGAAACAGAGCCGAAGUUAUGCGCAAGGGAGCUUCGGCAUGAUGACAGAAAAGAGGAAACUGACUUAAAGAGGAAAAGACUAUCUAGACCUAGAUAGAUUACUAUAGAGUUAUUGUCAAAAGCAAAGGGCCUGGAUGUAAUUUUGCAUGGGCUGCGACCUGUGCCUAUAAAUAGGUGAACAAUAUUCCCGUACUGUUCACGCUGACUUGGCAUUCACUUUCGCGUCACGCUUGUACCCUUGCUUUCCUUCGAGCCGAAGGUACAUUUAUAAUUUGUUAUUUUUGAUACAGUAACGCAAAUAAAAAUAAGUUGAUAAUAAUGUUUAAAGUGUUUAUGUUAUUUUUCAUA
Molecule: long non-coding RNA, 3079 nt
Filed under: Zea mays
Lineage: Eukaryota; Viridiplantae; Streptophyta; Magnoliopsida; Poales; Poaceae
Description: long non-coding RNA (ZMAY_LNC001432)
Source: RNAcentral